RNAcentral lists this small RNA (828 nucleotides) under Pongo abelii (Sumatran orangutan). Its description in RNAcentral is "retained intron". Lineage: Eukaryota; Metazoa; Chordata; Mammalia; Primates; Hominidae. The record is from RNAcentral.
CACUUGCAGAAAGUGCAAGGUGGUGACAGUGCUAUGAGGGCCUUCCAGAACACGGCAACUACAUGUGCACCAGUAUCACAUUAUCGAGCUGUUGAAAGUGUGGAUUCAAGUGAAGAGAGUUUUUCUGAUUCAGAUGAUGAUAGCUGUCUUUGGAAACGCAAACGACAGAAAUGUUUUAACCCUCCUCCCAAACCAGAGCCUUUUCAGUUUGGCCAGAGCAGUCAGAAACCACCUGUUGCUGGAGGAAAGAAGAUUAACAACAUAUGGGGUGCUGUGCUGCAGGAACAGAAUCAAGAUGCAGUGGCCACUGAACUUGGUAUCUUGGGAAUGGAGGGCACUAUUGACAGAAGCAGACAAUCCGAGACCUACAAUUAUUUGCUUGCUAAAAAACUUAGGAGGGAAUCUCAAGAGCAUACAAAAGAUCUAGACAAGGAACUAGAUGAAUAUAUGCACGGUGGCAAAAAAAUGGGAUCAAAGGAAGAGGAAAAUGGGCAAGGUCAUCUCAAAAGGAAACGACCUGUCAAAGACAGGCUAGGGAACAGACCAGAAAUGAACUAUAAAGGUCGAUACGAGAUCACAGCGGAAGAUUCUCAAGAGAAAGUGGCUGAUGAAAUUUCAUUCAGGUUACAGGAACCGAAGAAAGACCUGAUAGCCCGAGUAGUGAGGAUUAUUGGUAACAAAAAGGCAAUUGAACUUCUGAUGGAAACCGCUGAAGUUGAACAAAAUGGUGGUCUCUUUAUAAUGAAUGGUAGUCGAAGAAGAACACCAGGUGGAGUUUUUCUGAAUCUCUUGAAAAACACUCCUAGUAUCAGCGAGGAACAAAUUAAG